Molecule: long non-coding RNA, 1372 nt
Filed under: Struthio camelus australis
Lineage: Eukaryota; Metazoa; Chordata; Aves; Struthioniformes; Struthionidae
Description: lncRNA (ENSSCUG00000007124.1)
Source: RNAcentral
AUGGGAAUUAGCAAUGAUAGAAAUUCACUACUCCCCACUCUAUUCACCUCUGAGAGUGCUCAACUUCAGUGUUACAUUUUCUUUUUCUUUCUUUCUCUCUCUCUCUCUCUCUCUCUCUUUUUAACGGCACCAAGAAGAUUGAAUAUAUUAACUCUUAGAAAAGCACUGUUGAUGCCAAAGUCAGGAAAUGCAGAUGUUAAAUUCCUAGUAAAAACUCAGAGGCUUUUUAGAUGCAAAGCUUGGUUGGGCCUUCACAGAUACCGGACAAGGAAAGCACACCUGGAAGCUGCAAGAGAAUUCAGCAUUUCCAAAUGUGUUUUCAUUGUGAGUUGGAGCAAAAUGCAAAUCUUUUGCCAUAAUGAGGGAGAAUGAACAGAAGAGAGCUGAAUAACGUUACAGAGGGCUUAUGUGAACAACACAACUGGUCAAUAAGAUAUAAACAACGUUUAAUUGGGAAGAGUACGGUCAUAUAAGAACACAACAUAACACGUUUGGGAGCAGGUAGCUGGAUUGCAAAAUAUCCACUCAGCUAAACUGAUACCACAAGUGGCGAUCUGGACAAAGCCCACAGGCCCAUUUUGCGGGAUGAAUAUGGAGAACUUACUGUUAUUCUGCAGUGGGAAAUUAGACAAGAGUGGUCUGGGAAAGGAUCUGGACAAAAGUGCUGUAAAACAGAACUAAGAGGCAUAAGUAGUCUUUGGAAUAAUACUGUUCUGGUUAAUUUUCAAGGAAAAAAUCUCUGUGGUGCUCCUUUAGGAAGAAACUGAUUUCUGUUGACAUAUUGUAUAGUCAGACAAAGACCAUACACACAUAUCAGCCAAAUUGUGGUUAAAAAAAAAAGGAGUCAUUUUAAUAUUUACAGGGCUCCCUGGCAGUAUGCUGCUUUUGUGUUUGAUGCCCAAACUUCUUCAGUCAAUGUAAUUCCCUAACACCUGUGUUGAGAUCUGCUAACUUGUAAAAGUAGCAUGGACCCGUUUCCAUGUUGCCUUUUUCUAAGAAGACUUGAACAUGUUUGCUCAGCUUUGCACCGCACCAGCCUUGUACUGUGAUAGGAAUUAACUUAUGAUUUUCUUCAAAUCUAAAGCCCACUUAAUUGUCCCUUAAAUGAGAGCCUAAUUGCCUGUAAGGAGCCUGUUGUGAUCUAUUCUUCCCCUUUUGAUGGUCCAUAAAGAAAUUGGACACAACUGCAACCCUCAGAUCCCUGGGACGUUGUUGUGCCUUUCAUUAGAUGUGUGGGGUGAGGCUGUUGCUCUCCUUUGGUGGCAGCAAGGACAGGCGGUGGCCCGACAUCCCUGGAUAUAUUCUCCCCAUGUGCAAGGGGCAGGACUAUCCUGCAGGCUCCCCUUGGGCUGGAGGACUCAGCAUCCUCUCU